Molecule: ribosomal RNA, 456 nt
Filed under: uncultured bacterium
Lineage: Bacteria
Description: bacterial SSU rRNA
Rfam family: Bacterial small subunit ribosomal RNA
Source: RNAcentral
UACGGAAGGCAGCAGUGGGGAAUAUUGCACAAUGGGCGCAAGCCUGAUGCAGCCAUGCCGCGUGUAUGAAGAAGGCCUUCGGGUUGUAAAGUACUUUCAGUCGUGAGGAAGGUGUUAAGGUUAAUAACCUUAGCAAUUGACGUUAGCGACAGAAGAAGCACCGGCUAACUCCGUGCCAGCAGCCGCGGUAAUACGGAGGGUGCGAGCGUUAAUCGGAAUUACUGGGCGUAAAGGGCACGCAGGCGGUUAAUUAAGUUGGAUGUGAAAUCCCCGGGCUUAACCUGGGAAUGGCAUUCAAGACUGGUUAGCUAGAGUCUUGUAGAGGGGGUAGAAUUCCAUGUGUAGCGGUGAAAUGCGUAGAGAUGUGGAGGAAUACCGGGUGGCGAAGGCGGCCCCUGGGACAAAGACUGAUGCUCAUGUGCGAAAGCGUGGGGAGCAAACGAGGAUUAGGAUACC